GUCAUCUUCUGACUGAGGAGGAAUUUGGGGUUUGGUUCCAGUGCAUGAAGCUGCACAGUCAGAAUAAAAGAUGAGGGCCUAGCAGAUUAGCAAAGACUAGGAGAAGACUCUAUCUUGUGGCCAGCUUCAGAGAACCUGGGGCCAUAGCUCCCUGGUCAACAUUAGGCCUGCUGCAUGGGGACCCUGGGCAGGCAGUGGGAAGCCUGAGGUGUGGCUCCUGGUAGCCUCACAGCUGCCACUAUUUUCUGAAGCUCCUCCUACUUGUUUUGUCAGACGGGCCCCUAUUCCAGCAGGCCAGCAACACCCUCAAGACCAAGAACAGGCCAUGGUGAAUCUCAGGGCCAUUGAGUGCCUGGGCUGGCAGGGGCAGAGUGCCUCAGGGCUCAGUGACAUUUGGCCUGAGUGUUGGCUUUGGGAGUCAGACAGCUGCACUGGGCUCCCAGCUUCACCAUGACCAGUAAUGUGUCUGGGGCCGGGGCCUCACUGCUCUAAAACUUGAGACACCAUAGUGAUAAAUUUUACACACCCUUCUAACUGCUUUUUCUUUUUUAUCUGUCUUUCUCUAUAAUCACCAUGUACUACUGAUCUCUGUUUAUUUAAAUUAAUAAGCAUGUUAUACAGUGUGUAUUAUUCUUCCUCGUGAUUUCUUUACUACAUUGUAUGAUUCCACUCAUAUGAGGUACUUACAGUAGUUCCAUUCAUAGAAACUCAAAGUAGAAGAGUAGUUCCUAGAGGCCAAAAGGAAGGUAACGGGAACAGAGUUUGAGUUUUGCAAAAUGAACAAAUUUCCCUAUGAAUGUGGAUGAUGGUUGUAGAACAAUGUGAGUAUGAUUAAUUCCUCUGUCCUGCACUUUUAAAAAUUGUUAAAAUGGUUAAUUUUAUGUAUAUUUUACCACAAUGUAAAAAAGGACUUUUUUAAAUGAACAAACUGUAGAUAUCUGUAACAGCAUAAAUAUCACAAAUAUAAUAUUGCAUUAAAAAUUGAUGUAAAAGUAUCCAUACUGUGUAAUUUUUUAUAUUACACUCAAAAAUCAAAACUGAGGUUCUGGCUUCCACUAAUGAUGAAGUAGCUAACUGAACUAACACUCUCACACAGAAAAAUGAUGAAUCCUGGGUAAAUUAUUAUAUAUCAUUAUAGAAACAUUUCUAUAUACAAUACAUACAUGAAAUAUGUGUAUAUAAAAACUGAAUGCAUAUUUUGGCUAUGACUUCCAUAGGAGAGAUAAGUAUUGAAGAUAGAAUCCAGCCCAUUUAACACCAUCUUUUAAAAACAACACUCUUCACAGGGACAAAACAGAAUCCAGUCUUUUUAAUCCAGUCUUGUAUACAGUCUCCAGGGCACAAUUUCCAAUUCAAGAGAUGCGUGAAGACACGUGAAAAUGUAAUAAAUACACAAGAUAAAAAGCAGGCAGUAGCCAUCUCCAAGAUGUCCAAGAUGUAAACGGCAGACAAGAAUUUGAAGGCAGCUAUUAUAAACACGCUCAUGAGGGCAAAGGAAAAUAUUCUCAUAAAUGAAUAGAUGUGAAACAUCAGCAGAGAAAAAAUAGCCAUAUAAAAAAUGAGAAAUAAAAAUAGUAAUUUUGAGCUUUUCUAUAGUUCAGAAACAGAGACAUAGCAAUAUAAUUUAUCCAAUCUGAGGAGAGGAAAAAAAAAAGUUUAAAGAAAAUGAACAGAGCCUUACAGACCUGUGGGAUGACUGAGUCUGAGAAAAGGUGAGAGAUAGAAAAAAUCAAAUGGAGUAUAAAAGUAAAUCAACAAAAUUUAAAGAAAAUAAACACAGCCUUAGAGACCCAUGGAAUUAUUGAGCCUGAGGAGAGGAGAGAGACAGAAGAAUUAGAUGGGUUGCAAAAAUAAAUCAAUAACUAACAGCUGCAAACUUGCAAAAAUUGUUCAAAAACCUAUUUUUUUUUUUAAUCUAAAGAUCCACGAAUCCCCCACAAAAGUACAAAUAAAACCAUACCAAGGCCAUAUUGUGAUUUAGGAAAGCAGCAGGCAGGACUUUCAAUUGACUUGAUAUGAUUUAUCAUUUUUACUAUUUGUAAGAAUGGAAAUAAGUUCUUAGAGUUUUUGUCUUGGAGAAAGUCUGACGUUAAGGACAAACGACAGUUAUUAAAGGCAGAUGACUUUCCAGACUUGUCUUAAAUGUUCCAUUCUUUACCUUAGAACUUAUUUAAAUUUGUUUCUUCCAAAUACUGCAGUAAUAUUGAUGCUCCAGAGAGAUGUCCCACGGAGAUUCUGCUCUUGUGCGUCUGCCCUGCACGGAGCUGAGGCAGUGUCUAUCAGUUUCAGAAGCGAGUAGUCGUGCAGUACUUAACCUGAAAAACUUAAUGGAAACAUGAAUUAAGAGAAUGAUCACUGUUUAGUUCUAUCAGAAAACUAUUAAAAGUGGUCCAAGGGGGUAUUUAAAAAGAGAUAUUAUUUUCCAAGGGAGCCCUAUUCAGGGUAGAAGCGCAGACACUAUCCCUGACCUCACCACACAAACUACCCUCAUGUGUUGGGAGGGACCAAGGGGCGCUCUGGUCCUGCUGACCUGCAUUAAUCACGGCCCGGAGGUCCACACUAAGACCCUGAGGCCUGGGAAGCAGCCUGGGUGGGGUCAGAGAAGCGGUGGAUGAGGCUCCCACAGCAGCUUCCAGGGUCCCAUCCCCGUAGCUGUUUCCUUAGUGGAUGCAGCAGGGUCAGGCCCUUCCGCUGUGACGUUUUCUCCUCUUUAUUACACUGGUGGGAAAGUCUCCGUGAGAGGCCCGACCUAGAUAUGGACCACGCAGCGAGCCCGGGGGUCCAAGCGGCACUCCUGGGGUGCAGAGAAUUUGUGACAGCCUAGAGAACAGAGGAAAUGGUUUUGAAAAGGCAAAUGGCAGGUGACUAGGGACACGAUGUUUUCACUUCUGGCAGUCAAGUGACAGUUUCAGACACUCAUGAACGGGCUUCUCGAGGGGAUCCCAAGGAGCCUGAGACCUGCCAGGUCGGCCGCCAUUACCCUACACCUAGGGACGGGCUGCACUGCGCAUUUCCGAAAGGGCAGGCCCCUUAGCCCCACCCCUAGGAAUGGGUGCACUGCGCAUGUGUGAAAGGGCAGGACUUUUAUCCCGCCGCUAGGGACGGGCUACACUACCCAUGUCUGAACGGGUGUGACAAGAGGGAGGAGCGAGAAGGGACGGGGCGGAGCGGGAGAUGGGCAAGAAUAGGGGCGCGGUGCGGCCAACGUCCGGCGGAGGAUCGUUACCACGGCAACGCUGCUGUGGAGGCCAUGAAAGGCGAACGGCCCUUUGUUGGCUGACAGGAAAUCGAGACACUCGUGAGGGGGCUUCUUGAGGCGAUCCCAAGAGGCCUGAGAACUGCCACAUCCGCGGCCCUUAACCCAGCCCUAGGGACGGGCCGCACUGCGCAUGUCUGAAAGGGAGUGACAAGAGGAGGAGCGAAGGAGGGUGGGGCUGAGGAGGAGGCGGGGUGAGAAAAGGGGCGGGCCGCGCCCCACCCUUGUCUGAGGAGCGUUACCUUGACAACCCUGCCGCGGAGGCAGUGAGAGGCCACCGACCCUUUGUUGAUCUGCAAGGUAUCAAACUUCGAACAUGACAAGCAUAAAAGCCUGCAGCUCGAGGAGACAGGGUGUCACAAUUACCAGGUGAAACUAGCCGCCCUAGCUCCAAUGUCUCUUCAGCAGGAGAGAUUUGGAAACAGCAAGGCUCCUCUCCGCAGGGCGAAACUGCUGGGCUGCGAAAGGCGGGACAGGGAGCGGAACCGUCUUCAACCGUUCCGGGAGUUCUGGUGUCUGGUCCGCUCCCGGCUGUUGGUCGCAGGGCAGAGGGUCUAGGAUGCCAGCUGGCUGCGGGCUGGGAGAUGCAGGUGCCUGAACCAUAAGGCACAAGGAAUGAGCCCCUCAUCGUGAGAGUGCAUGUGACAGGAG
This 3907-nucleotide long non-coding RNA is filed under the name Homo sapiens (human). Its description in RNAcentral is "non-protein coding lnc-TP53TG3-7:1". The record is from RNAcentral. Lineage: Eukaryota; Metazoa; Chordata; Mammalia; Primates; Hominidae.